This is a non-coding RNA of Podarcis lilfordi (Lilford's wall lizard), 434 nucleotides long. NCBI's taxonomy places the organism in Eukaryota, Metazoa, Chordata, Lepidosauria, Squamata, Lacertidae. The record is from the annotation of a GenBank genome assembly.
UCUUUGGUUAAACCUCCUUCUCUUCUUGACAGCUCUCCCAGGUAAUAUUUCUCUCACUGGAAACUCUGGAGACUUGCACACUUUUCUACACAGGUUUCCGCUGAUGUUCUUUCCUCCAUUUUUUUAGGCUGUCACUCAGAGGUUCAGUUGGUGGAGACUGGAGGAGGAGCUGUAGCUCCUGGUGGCUCCCUCCGCCUCUCCUGCAAGGCUUCAGGAUUCACCUUUACUAGUUAUGAAAUCCACUGGAUUCGUCAGGCUCCUGGGAAAGGACUGGACUGGGUGGCUGGAGUAAGUGGUUCAGGAAGUAGCCAAUGGUAUAAUUCCAAAGUUCAGGGACGCUUCACCAUCUCCAGAGACAAUUCUCAAACUUCAGCCUAUUUGCAAAUGAGCAGCUUGAAGCCUGAAGACUCUGCCUUGUAUUACUGUGCAAGAGA